GAUGAACGCUAGCGGCAGGCCUAACACAUGCCAGUCGAGGGAGAAGCCCUUUCGGGGGCAGAAACCGGCGCACGGGUGCGUAACGCGUAUGCAACCUACCUUUCACAGGGGGAUAGCCCGAAGAAAUUUGGAUUAAUACCCCAUAAUAUUAUUGGAUGGCAUCAUUUGAUAAUUAAAACUGCGGUGGUGAAAGAUGGGCAUGCGUCCUAUUAGCUAGUUGGAGUGGUAACGGCACCCCAAGGCUACGAUAGGUAGGGGUCCUGAGAGGGAGAUCCCCCACACUGGUACUGAGACAGGGACCAGACUCCUACGGGAGGCAGCAGUGAGGAAGAUUGGUCAAUGGUCGGAAGACUGAACCAGCCAUGCCGCGUGCAGGAAGAAUGCCUUAUGGGUUGUAAACUGCUUUUAUAUGGGAAGAAUAAGGCGUACGUGUACGUUGAUGACGGUACCAUAUGAAUAAGCAUCGGCUAACUCCGUG
This 478-nucleotide ribosomal RNA is filed under the name uncultured bacterium. Its description in RNAcentral is "partial 16S ribosomal RNA". It matches the Rfam family "Bacterial small subunit ribosomal RNA", at positions 28 to 507 of the family's 1533-position model. The record is from RNAcentral.